UACGAAGGGUGCUAGCGUUGUUCGGAAUCACUGGGCGUAAAGCGUGCGUAGGCGGCUUUGCAAGUCAGAGGUGAAAUGCCGGGGCUUAACCCCGGAACUGCCUUUGAAACUGCAUGGCUGGAGUAUUGGAGGGGUCAGGGGAAUUCCUAAUGUAGUGGUGAAAUACGUAGAUAUUAGGAGGAACACCGGUGGCGAAGGCGCCUGACUGGACAAUAACUGACGCUGAGGCACGAAAGCGUGGGGAUCAAACAGG
RNAcentral lists this ribosomal RNA (253 nucleotides) under uncultured bacterium. RNAcentral's name for it is "partial 16S ribosomal RNA". It matches the Rfam family "Bacterial small subunit ribosomal RNA", at positions 524 to 776 of the family's 1533-position model. The record is from RNAcentral.